RNAcentral lists this long non-coding RNA (1264 nucleotides) under Fukomys damarensis (Damara mole-rat). Its description in RNAcentral is "lncRNA (ENSFDAG00000029831.1)". Lineage: Eukaryota; Metazoa; Chordata; Mammalia; Rodentia; Bathyergidae. The record is from RNAcentral.
CUCCUGUCAAGCGAUGGGCGCGAGACUACGGCUGGCUGAUGCCUGCGCGAGCGGCAGGGACGUCGACCUGUAACCGCGGGAGCUUGAGGUCUCGCAACAGGUUUUUCCGGUUCGUGUGGAAGCAGGCUGCGGGGUGCCGCCUCCCUCCGGCGGGGGCCAGGAUCAAUUUUUGCGCCUCUCGUGACUCAGUAACAGGUACUAGAAUCCCUCGAUCCACGUUGGAAAGAAAGGUGAGACUAAGGACCUCAAAAAGAGGGUGACCCAGCUAAUCGAGAGGCGGAGACGAGGACACCAAUUUGGAGCCCAGCCUGGGCAAUUCGGUAAGACCUUGUCUCAACAUUUAAAAAAGAAAAAAGUGGCAAAGGAAGUGCUGGGGAUGUAGCUGAGCGCUCAAGAAGAAGCAGCUUGCCUGAGGUGGUGGCGCCCACCUGUAAUCCCAGUAAUCUGGGAGACUGAAGCAGGAAGGAUCACAAACUCAGUUUCCACCUGGAGAAUUUACGUUGAGAAUCUAUCUCAAAUUAAAAAUAAUGAUGAGGAGUAGGACUGGAAAUACAGCCAAGUGGAAAGGCCCUGGAUGCAAACCCCUGUGUAACUAAAAAUAAAUCAAUAAUAAAUAGUGGCGUGGGCCGGGGAUUUAGCUCAAUGGCAGCGCUCCUGCCUCGCAAGCUCAAGGUCCUGAGUCCGAUCCCCGUUACCAAAAUAAAUAAAAAGUGAAGAAACGUUGUAUCUUAUAAAAUUUAGGGAAAACUUGAGUUCGGUUUUGAAUAUAGUCAAUCUACUUAAAAUACUUUCAUGAAUAAUACUAUAUUAGUACACUUCUCAGUUACUGAAAGUUUCAGCUUAGGGUCAGAAAUUGACAGCCUCUAUACCUAAAACAGCCAAAAAUUAUGAACGAUAAGGUGACCCUGUGUCAUUAACAUCCAGGAUAGAGAAAGAGUAAGAGUGAAAUAUAUUCAACCUUGAUUUCAGAAAAUAUCAAUCUGUACUGUAAUCAGGAAUUUGCAUUCUUUCGUAUGAAGUGAGAUUGCUGACUUUAUUCAGGAGAACUGAAAGAGAAACUAAUGAAAUCACCAUGUAGGAUCCAGGCCUAAAGUUUUAAGCUGGGAGAGUAUCCAUCAAAAGUCAGAAAAUCUGAAUAAAAUAUUCAGUUCCCCUAAAUACAAAGAAGCAGGCUAUGUUGUUCUAAGAUCUAGAUUUACUGGAGAUGUAGCUCAGUAUUAGAGCACUUGCCAAGCAUUUAUGAGGCCCUUGCUUACAUUCCAAC